ACGGGUGGAGUAACACGUGGGUGAUCUGCCUCGCACUUCGGGAUAAGCCUGGGAAACUGGGUCUAAUACCGGAUAUGACCAGGGACUGCAUGGUUUUUGGUGGAAAGAUUUAUCGGUGCGAGAUGGGCCCGCGGCCUAUCAGCUUGUUGGUGGGGUAAUGGCCUACCAAGGCGACGACGGGUAGCCGGCCUGAGAGGGCGACCGGCCACACUGGGACUGAGACACGGCCCAGACUCCUACGGGAGGCAGCAGUGGGGAAUAUUGCACAAUGGGCGAAAGCCUGAUGCAGCGACGCCGCGUGAGGGAUGACGGCCUUCGGGUUGUAAACCUCUUUCGACAGGGACGAAGCGCAAGUGACGGUACCUGUAGAAGAAGCACCGGCCAACUACGUGCCAGCAGCCGCGGUAAUACGUAGGGUGCGAGCGUUGUCCGGAAUUACUGGGCGUAAAGAGCUUGUAGGCGGUUUGUCGCGUCGUCUGUGA
RNAcentral lists this ribosomal RNA (482 nucleotides) under Nocardia levis. Its description in RNAcentral is "bacterial SSU rRNA". It matches the Rfam family "Bacterial small subunit ribosomal RNA", at positions 100 to 597 of the family's 1533-position model. The record is from RNAcentral. Lineage: Bacteria; Bacillati; Actinomycetota; Actinomycetes; Mycobacteriales; Nocardiaceae.